This 319-nucleotide ribosomal RNA is filed under the name uncultured Pseudomonadota bacterium. Its description in RNAcentral is "bacterial SSU rRNA". It matches the Rfam family "Bacterial small subunit ribosomal RNA", at positions 30 to 351 of the family's 1533-position model. Lineage: Bacteria; Pseudomonadati; Pseudomonadota. The record is from RNAcentral.
AUUGAACGCUGGCGGCAUGCUUUACACAUGCAAGUCGAACGGGGUGGCGGGGCAACCUGCCACUUAGUGGCGAACGGGUGAGUAAUGCAUCGGAACGUGUCCCGCAGUGGGGAUAACGCCGCGAAAGCGGCGCUAAUACCGCAUACGCUCUGUGGAGGAAAGUGGGGGACCUGCGAGGGCCUCACGCUAUGGGGGCGCCGAUGUCCGAUUAGCUUGUUGGUGGGGUAAUGGCCCACCAAGGCGACGAUCGGUAGCUGGUCUGAGAGGAUGAUCAGCCACACUGGGACUGAGACACGGCCCAGACUCCUACGGGUGGCUG